This 1437-nucleotide ribosomal RNA is filed under the name uncultured organism. RNAcentral describes it as "16S ribosomal RNA". It matches the Rfam family "Bacterial small subunit ribosomal RNA". The record is from RNAcentral.
CAGGCUUAACACAUGCAAGUCGAGGGGCAGCAUGGUCUUAGCUUGCUAAGGCCGAUGGCGACCGGCGCACGGGUGAGUAACACGUAUCCAACCUGCCGUCUACUCUUGGACAGCCUUCUGAAAGGAAGAUUAAUACAAGAUGGCAUCAUGAGUCCGCAUGUUCACAUGAUUAAAGGUAUUCCGGUAGACGAUGGGGAUGCGUUCCAUUAGAUAGUAGGCGGGGUAACGGCCCACCUAGUCUUCGAUGGAUAGGGGUUCUGAGAGGAAGGUCCCCCACAUUGGAACUGAGACACGGUCCAAACUCCUACGGGAGGCAGCAGUGAGGAAUAUUGGUCAAUGGGCGAGAGCCUGAACCAGCCAAGUAGCGUGAAGGAUGACUGCCCUAUGGGUUGUAAACUUCUUUUAUAAAGGAAUAAAGUCGGGUAUGCAUACCCGUUUGCAUGUACUUUAUGAAUAAGGAUCGGCUAACUCCGUGCCAGCAGCCGCGGUAAUACGGAGGAUCCGAGCGUUAUCCGGAUUUAUUGGGUUUAAAGGGAGCGUAGAUGGAUGUUUAAGUCAGUUGUGAAAGUUUGCGGCUCAACCGUAAAAUUGCAGUUGAUACUGGAUAUCUUGAGUGCAGUUGAGGCAGGCGGAAUUCGUGGUGUAGCGGUGAAAUGCUUAGAUAUCACGAAGAACUCCGAUUGCGAAGGCAGCCUGCUAAGCUGCAACUGACAUUGAGGCUCGAAAGUGUGGGUAUCAAACAGGAUUAGAUACCCUGGUAGUCCACACGGUAAACGAUGAAUACUCGCUGUUUGCGAUAUACAGCAAGCGGCCAAGCGAAAGCGUUAAGUAUUCCACCUGGGGAGUACGCCGGCAACGGUGAAACUCAAAGGAAUUGACGGGGGCCCGCACAAGCGGAGGAACAUGUGGUUUAAUUCGAUGAUACGCGAGGAACCUUACCCGGGCUUAAAUUGCAGAUGAAUUACGGUGAAAGCCGUAAGCCGCAAGGCAUCUGUGAAGGUGCUGCAUGGUUGUCGUCAGCUCGUGCCGUGAGGUGUCGGCUUAAGUGCCAUAACGAGCGCAACCCUUGUUGUCAGUUACUAACAGGUUCCGCUGAGGACUCUGACAAGACUGCCAUCGUAAGAUGUGAGGAAGGUGGGGAUGACGUCAAAUCAGCACGGCCCUUACGUCCGGGGCUACACACGUGUUACAAUGGGGGGUACAGAGGGCCGCUACCACGCGAGUGGAUGCCAAUCCCAAAAACCUCUCUCAGUUCGGACUGGAGUCUGCAACCCGACUCCACGAAGCUGGAUUCGCUAGUAAUCGCGCAUCAGCCACGGCGCGGUGAAUACGUUCCCGGGCCUUGUACACACCGCCCGUCAAGCCAUGGGAGCCGGGGGGUACCUGAAGUGCGUAACCGCGAGGAGCGCCCUAGGGUAAAACUGGUGACUGGGGCUA